AGAGUUUGAUCCUGGCUCAGGACGAACGCUGGCGGCGUGCCUAACACAUGCAAGUCGAACGCGAAAGGGGAGCUUGCUCCCCGAGUAGAGUGGCGCACGGGUGAGUAACACGUGGGUAACCAACCCCCGGGUGGGGGAUAACAGUUCGAAAGGACUGCUAAUCCCGCAUGAGACCACGAUGGCGCAGGCCAUUGGGGCCAAAGGAGAAAUCCGCCUGGGGACGGGCCCGCGUCCCAUCAGCUUGUUGGUAGGGUAACGGCCUACCAAGGCAGUGACGGGUAGCUGGUCUGAGAGGACGACCAGCCACACUGGGACUGGAACACGGCCCAGACUCCUACGGGAGGCAGCAGUGAGGAAUAUUGGACAAUGGGCGAAAGCCUGAUCCAGCAACGCCGCGUGGGUGAUGAAGGCCUUCGGGUUGUAAAGCCCUUUCAGGAGGAACGAGGAAGGACGGUACCUCCAGAAGAAGCACCGGCUAACUCCGUGCCAGCAGCCGCGGUAAUACGGAGGGUGCAAGCGUUGUCCGGAAUCACUGGGCGUAAAGCAGGUGCAGGCGGCUCGUUAUGUCGGGUGUGAAAUCCCGCGGCUCAACCGCGGAACUGCGCCCGAAACUGGCGAGCUUGAGUGCGAGAGGGGGUGGUGGAAUUCCCGGUGUAGAGGUGAAAUUCGUAGAUAUCGGGAAGAAUACCGGUGGCGAAGGCGACCACCUGGCUCGCUACUGACGCUCAGACCUGAAAGCGUGGGGAGCAAACAGAAUUAGAUACUCUGGUAGUCCACGCUGUAAACGAUGGACACUAGGUGUUGGGGGUGUCGAUUCCCUCAGUGCCGAAGCUAACGCAUUAAGUGUCCCGCCUGGGAAGUACGGCCGCAAGGCUAAAACUCAAAGGAAUUGACGG
Molecule: ribosomal RNA, 896 nt
Filed under: uncultured bacterium
Lineage: Bacteria
Description: bacterial SSU rRNA
Rfam family: Bacterial small subunit ribosomal RNA
Source: RNAcentral